RNAcentral lists this transfer RNA (67 nucleotides) under human gut metagenome. It matches the Rfam family "tRNA". Rfam says of the family: Transfer RNA (tRNA) molecules are approximately 80 nucleotides in length. Their secondary structure includes four short double-helical elements and three loops (D, anti-codon, and T loops). Further hydrogen bonds mediate the characteristic L-shaped molecular structure. tRNAs have two regions of fundamental functional importance: the anti-codon, which is responsible for specific mRNA codon recognition, and the 3' end, to which the tRNAs corresponding amino acid is attached (by aminoacyl-tRNA synthetases). tRNAs cope with the degeneracy of the genetic code in two manners: having more than one tRNA (with a specific anti-codon) for a particular amino acid; and 'wobble' base-pairing, i.e. permitting non-standard base-pairing at the 3rd anti-codon position. The record is from RNAcentral. RNAcentral also lists the same sequence under 1 other name.
AACAUGGCUCAGUCGGUAGAGCAGCGGUUUCGUAAACCGCAGGUCGAGGGUUCGAGUCCCUCUGUUG